GGACACCAAGGCACUCCAGAAACCUCCUGAAUUGCUUGCAGCAUUGCAAGUUGUCCUUCCAACAUACUUCAAAGUUGGUUAAAGUCCUUCGUGAGAACCAGGGACCAUGAUCCCGAUGGUUCCUCAGACUGUUUAAAGAAGACUUGUCCACUACCUUGUCUCUACCAGAUGUCCCUGUUGGUCUCCCCUCUGAUCUUCUGCAUGAGCUCUUGGCUAGCCCAUUGCCUCAUCGAUAGCAGGGUGCCAGGCAUUUGAACCUCUUCCUCACAUAGAGCGCAAAUCCCCCCUCGUCUUUGUCCUUUCUUCCUGUCCUUCUGAAAGACCUGUAGAUGACAGCACUGCAGUUGUGCUAUUUAUCUGAAAGACAAGGCUCUAAAAUAUACCAAUGUGACUCUAUUACUAUCUCUGAGGAAGCAUGGUAAUUGGAAAUCGAGAGACAAGUAAAUCAGGAUUACUUAAGAGAUGCUGCAGACUCUUAGUCGCUGCCCAGACAUAAAGUCCAAAUGCACUGAAAUCCUGAGCGCUCAUGUUCUAGGAGGUCCUUAAUUAGAUGAGUUUUCUACAGAACAUUAUUCAUCGAUUGUUAGAGAUGAUUAAUCUCUAGUAUCAGAGUAUUGCAUAUUGGAUCACCCAGAUUAUAUAUUAUCGGAUUAUUAUUAUUAUUAUUAUUAUUACAAAUUAGCUAUAGGCCAUCUAUCCUCUGUGUUAUUGACUCUACUCAUAUUCCUUUCAGGCUUGAAAGCAGUUCAUGAAAACCGAAAAUGUUGUUGCUCUCAUGAUGCCCGUGAUUAUUACACCCAUGUGCGCGGCAACGACUGUUGCACUCCGAGGUGCUCAGCCUUGGCAGCAGAGUAAAAGGGUCAUUAGAUAUUGGCUGUGUUCCUGCCAGGAGUCAAUCAGCUUAUAGUAGCAUUAGGACUCCUGUAUUAAUUGGUAGAAGUGUAUGGACACUCUGGGUAACUGAACAGAUUUCUUGAUGGCGGAGACCAUCUUUGUUUGGAACACGUUUUCUCGUGAUUUCUUCUACUGAUCUCUCAAAAGAAAAUUGGUACCGAUGUUCCCCAAGUGGCCUGAACAAUCAAAAAACAUGGUCCUGAUGACCUGACAGUGAAACCCUGGAAGGCUCUGCUGUUGUCCUGCUGUAAAAGGGAUUCUUCUUACGAGGGCUCUCUGCAACAGGAGGGCAAUACCUCCCUUGGUGUGCAAGAAGUCUCACUUGAUUUUGUCGCAGUAUUUGGAGUUCAUGUCACCCUUCUGCUGUUCCUUGCCGUCCAGGUUGACAGUGGCAGGUGUCUCUUCCUUCAGCCAGAAAGUUCUUUCCAACCGGCUAACAGCCUGUGCUCUCCUGUGAAAUGCAAUCCCCAUAUAAAUGUGCUGAAGCUCCGGGAAGUAAGAAACGGGAAUUGUGCCAUCUUUUUGCAUGUUCAGGGCCACCUUGUGUCAAUGGAGAUGCACAGCACCAGCACAGUCUAAGCCUUCCCUCCCAGUGGUCAGGGAUCCAUCCUUACAGGACACCAAUACAUUGAACAGUGGCUACAUCUAUCACCAGUAUAUUUUCCCAAAGCCAAGAGCACGGCUGUGAUGGGGCUGAACGGUGAAUGGAAAGGUUGUGAUAACAUCUUGCGAGCAUUGGGUGUAAGGUGGGCUUUUCCUAAUGGGAGAAUAAGACUGUUCAGGAAGACCCUGGUUGUACCUGUCUACAGCUGAAAGAUCUUGAGGACUGGCCAUUUUGAUGCAAAGGUGGGACAAGAUCCUUGGAAAACCAGUUGUGAGAAUUAGAAGUGGACUCUGUCACUGUGAAAGCAACUUAACUGCCUCCCAUUUUGGCAUUUAUAGGCUGCUACAAGGGGCUUUGUGAUAUUACCGGAACGUGUCAGUUUGAUGCUGCCUCUGUUGCAUUUGUCCUUCAGUCCGUUAUUCAACCAAGAGCCCCCUCAUCUCUCAGGGGUGUGCGAUGCUGGGACUCACCUGCACGGUGAAUGAAACUGUAGGCAAGCUCUUGAAGCAGAAUGAAGUAAUAUCUACCCCUUGUAAAGAUGUAAUCUCAGUAGGUACUCUGAUACUUGUCCUAUCAAGGCCCAGAAGGAUUCCCUGGAAAUCUGGUGUUGAGAUGGAGGGACAUGAAACAAUGCUUUUAUGGCUGCAGGUACUUCUGUGGAGGGGAGUGGGAGCCUGUGGAUCUCCCUACAGGUAUUGCAGAAGAGAAAAAAAAAUUGUGCUACCUCUGCUUGUGACUACACAUGUGAACGCAGUAGCACCACAUUGAAAAGGAUCAGUUAGAGAUGCUUUUCCAUGACUUGAUCUCAUCGUAAGACCACACUUUUUUCAUUUUUGCCUUUAGCAGUCAGACUACUGGCUGUACUGGCAUAGGUCCUUGAAAACCAUUAGCCUGAUAGUAUUUUAGUAGCUUGGAAACCAUAAUGAAGAGUGCCACCUACAAAAAAUUAGUGCUGGAUAAGAUGGUAGCUCCCAUCUCAAGCCAAGUCUGAGGAGGUUGAACUUACUGGCUUGGCAAAGUGUGUGCACGUAGUACGUGGCAGGGGCCGUUAACAGAAUAGAAUUUGCCGUACUGUGGACUAUAUAAGGGACUACACCAUUACAUCCCUUCUCCCACGGAAGUUCAGCUGUCCAACAUGGGGAAGGUUUAUCACCUGGACGAAGCUGUUGCACUCAUCAGAAGCUGAAAUACAUGAAGUUGUUGAACUGCAGUAUCAGAAUAUAUGUAUAGCUGCUUAGUGUACACAUUUCUGCAUUCUUCUUCUGCCACUUAUUAGCUGUUAAUUCUUCUAACUUAAAUUUCACUUUUCCAUAUUUUACAAUAUUUGACUUUUUUUUUUGUAACUUGUGAUGUUUUUCAUGUUUGAUAAAGAAACAUGAAAUUUGUUCCACUAAACUCGAAAUGCAGAGACGCUACCAGAAGGAUUUAUAGAUAGAUAAACAAGCCUUGUUUAAUUAAAGGCAUACCAGCUAAAGAAAUGGCCAGACAAUGAAUUCUUUAAACUUCUCUCUUGUUACUUAAUUCGAGAUAACAUAGUUCGUUAGUCUUCAGCUUUGAUCCAGAAGCACACGGAUUCAAUUUCUGUCUCCCUUUCCAGACCCACCCGUCACACAUAGAUAAUAAUCAGGGAUAGUUUUACCUUUCCUAAACUAAGUUUAGAAGCGUGAAAGGCUCAUGGUGGCCACUGGAGGUCACUGUAGCUCUACAAAAAAAAAAAAAAAAAAAAAAAAAAAAGACCUAUUGAUGAACAACUGACUAGAGAAAGGUUUAAAGACUGAGCAUUCUGGGAAUUUCUGUAUUUAUGGUGUGAAGACUGUGGGAUAAACCCAAUAAAAUCCUAUUGCAAAAUGUGA
This is a long non-coding RNA of Harpia harpyja (harpy eagle), 3351 nucleotides long. RefSeq lists it as uncharacterized. Lineage: Eukaryota; Metazoa; Chordata; Aves; Accipitriformes; Accipitridae. The transcript is spliced from 2 exons. The record is from RefSeq and is a predicted model, not a curated record.